Molecule: long non-coding RNA, 511 nt
Filed under: Salmo trutta (river trout)
Lineage: Eukaryota; Metazoa; Chordata; Actinopteri; Salmoniformes; Salmonidae
Description: lncRNA (ENSSTUG00000013456.1)
Source: RNAcentral
UCUAGCCCUGACUCUGGCCCUCAGACAGGAACAGAUCUGGAGAGAGCUCUGUGACUAAGUUGUUUUCAUAAGAUGUCUGCUGUUUCAGGGUUGACAGAACACUGUGAACCUCCGGUAAAACUCAACUUCUCCUGGUACCUAAGGAGCUCCCGCUGCUUCGAUGAGGUAUUCGAUCUCGACCCUCUGAAGGCAGGGAGCUACUUCAGAAAGACAACUGUGAAGCAGGGAGGAGGCAGUGGGUUCUAUGUGUUUUUUCAGUACCCUGCCAUUGAGUGCAAACAGCACAUGACCCACAGUGAGUUCUUUCUCAACAGAUUUGAGGAGCCGACUAGGCUUACUGAGCAAGUUCAAGAACAGCCUGUCACUGUCAAGGACAAAGGGAUGAGGAAAAGGAGCGCUGAGGAUCCAAAGGAGGUGGUUGCUGUCAAAGCAGAGGCAGCCCUGUGGAAGUCAGUGUGAACGGGAACCCAUGACUACAUCUCAGUUUCAGAAUGGCCUCUUAUGAUCGAUC